Molecule: long non-coding RNA, 1993 nt
Organism: Astatotilapia calliptera (eastern happy)
Lineage: Eukaryota; Metazoa; Chordata; Actinopteri; Cichliformes; Cichlidae
Source: Ensembl
CUAGAUAGGAUAAAAGGGUGGAUGAAUUUAUGUGUGUUUCUUUUACAGGAGUAGAAGGAUGACAAAAUAUUCGAGGAUGAGUGAACCUUUAAAUGCCAUUUUUGUGUCUUGUGUUGUUUACAGAGGUAACUGCGCAGCGUUACCAUUUACAUUUUCUUCCCUACAGGGUUACAGUUUUAAUGUUUUUCUAUUACAGGAUUUCUGGGCGGAUGUGUGAAGAAACGGUGUUUAUGGGUUAGGAGUUGGGGAUGCUAUUACACUGUAUUCUGGUGAGAGUGUUGGGGGAGACACACCCUGUCUUGAAAACUGUGAUUCUUUUACAGGAAAUGUUUUAUAGCACCUAUGGAAUGAGGAUGCCUGACUACGGUCAAUGUGCUGCUAAUGUUUGCUUUGCUUUGGUGAGAGGGGUGCAGUAGAAAACAGACAAGUGACAUGAAAACAAGUAAUAAUAACAAAUAACAAAUUUGGGGACAGUUUGACCUAGAGCCCACUAACUGGCCAUUAGGGGCUCUCGCUCUCGCUCUCUCUCUCUCUCUCUCUCUCUCUCUCUCUCUCUCUCUCUUGGAAUAACAUUGCCCAAAGGGUGAAUAAAGCAAAUUGUGGCAAUAAUAGUGAUUUAAUGAUUGGAGAAACCUGAACAUGAUACUUGUCUGUUGUGCUGAAUCUUUUAUUACUCUUAUGAUUUGCAGGUGGGACCAUGAAGAUUUUUUGGUACAGAUUGCAGGUUGUUGCUCAUUAUUGAAGUGUGCUCAUAAAGGUAAAAGCUAUAUAGGGGGUCUAUCAUUUGGUCUGUGUUUUAAUAAUUUAGGUAUGGCUAAAUUAAAGGUUUCUAGACAAUUUAGGGAACGAGUGAGAAGCAUAAUUAGAUGAUCAGAAACGGAGUACUACACUCAAGUUAGAAUUAAGAAUGCCCAAUUUGUUUGAGGUCUGUUGUUCAUUUUAUACACACAUUGCAAAUGUGCUUAUAAGGAGCUGGCACUUAGUCUGUGAAGGUCAAAAGCUUCAUCCGACAACGGAUCGGAUUGAUAUAUUGGUGCUAUUGACUUCACGUGCAGAGGGUUAAAUGCAUGCACGCUUACACACAUAAGCAUGGCAUAGGAUUGGAAUAAACAAAGUCAACAACAUUAGGUUAGGAGAGCCAGCGCAGGGGAGGUGUUGGCUUUCUGUCUCUUGCAGAGAAGGGAACAGACGCCAGACGGGGACACGGAGAUAUGGGGACCCUUCACAGCAACUGGGGUCAAGUGUCAUGGCCUUGGGGCUCCUUGAUAAGAUGGAUCCCAUAACCACAGCGAUAACCAGGAAGGGGUUGGCGAAAACUAGGAACACCAGAGACCAACGUGGUUCGAGAGGCUUUUGGCAAAAAGGGGGACACGGCGGUGACAACGGACAACAAACACACAGAUUUGUGUAGCGACUGAAGGGUGGUCUAACCCCGGAAGACGAAGAAAGAAGAAUCCGAGGGCGUUUCUUCACUCCAAGAGGAGGUGGUAAAGGGGCCUGAAGCGUGUCAGGCUGAAACUCGAGUCCGAAGCUAAAAGAACAGCUGGGUUGUGGGAAAAUUGGAAAACAACGGAGGCGUUGGGAUUGAUAAGUGUCAUAACGUGUUUGUUUGGUUUGGAAAUAAAUCCUGGUGUGAGUUGGGCUGGCAAGCCAGCCCAAAGAGGAGGAAUGUGACCAGGAGAUAUUUUAUUUUGUAUUCUUAUGAUCACAGUUAUAAUCAGAAGUAUCAAUCAUUAAUCAUUUACCAUUGUUGAACCAGUUGACAGAAUAAUCUUUGAACCAUAUCUAUGUUAACAUUAAUCUACACAGAUUAUCAGUACUUUAAUCAGUCUAUUGUUGUUCUGUACUAUUCAUGUUAUUUGCUUAAAGCUGUUUCACAGUUCUGUAAUCACUCAGAAGCCUGUGGGGUCUUGCUGGACCCUGCCUUGGUUCUAUGUUCAGUUCUGCACGUACACAGGCCUUGAAAGUACAUGCACGCUCUUAUAUAACACAU